CGAGUUUGAUCCCGGCUCAGAUUGAACGCUGGCGGCAUGCCUUACACAUGCAAGUCGAACGGUAACGGGCCUUCGGGUGCCGACGAGUGGCGAACGGGUGAGUAAUGUAUCGGAACGUACCUUUCAGUGGGGGAUAACGUAGCGAAAGUUACGCUAAUACCGCAUAUUCUAUGCGCAGGAAAGCAGGGGAUCGCAAGACCUUGCGCUGAUUGAGCGGCCGAUAUCAGAUUAGCUAGUUGGUGAGGUAAAGGCUCACCAAGGCGACGAUCUGUAGCGGGUCUGAGAGGAUGAUCCGCCACACUGGAACUGAGACACGGUCCAGACUCCUACGGGAGGCAGCAGUGGGGAAUUUUGGACAAUGGGGGCAACCCUGAUCCAGCCAUGCCGCGUGAGUGAAGAAGGCCUUCGGGUUGUAAAGCUCUUUCGGCCGGGAAGAAAUCGUAUGGGUUAAUACCCUGUGCGGAUGACGGUACCGGCAUAAGAAGCACCGGCUAACUACGUG
Molecule: ribosomal RNA, 502 nt
Filed under: uncultured bacterium
Lineage: Bacteria
Description: bacterial SSU rRNA
Rfam family: Bacterial small subunit ribosomal RNA
Source: RNAcentral